CACAGCUCUGAAACACCUCAUCGUGUAGGUGGGGAACUUGUCAUAGGAACUCAGAUGGUAGGACCCGUUGGCUGGUUACUGCUAGCCCUUGCCAGCUUUGUCCUCACUGGCUGCCAACACCCCCGCCCCCGGGGCCCUGCUACAGACACCAGGUACUCCUAUUUAGAGCUGGUCAUGGAUAAGGAAAAGGCAGAUUUGGCCACAGGAUCUCAAAACAUAGAUCCACUUUAUGUAGAAAAAUCUCUUGAACCUAUCAGGAGUACCAGGAACACAUACAGAAGAAGAGGAAGAAAGUUCUCCCAAGUUUGACUCAGAAAACUUCUGAAAGAAUUCCCUACAUAUGCUGCCUCUGCUGAUUUCCUCCUGGAUUCUCAACAAAACUGAGGCCGAUCUCUAUACCUUAUCACAUAACCACGGGACUGGAAAUGCUUCCUCAGAGGAAGUAUCCUAGGAUAGAACCUUACCGACGCUGUGAUGGGAAUCAAGUUGUGAAUGUUACGAAGGUUGUCACAGCUUGCAGCUUCAAGCUUCUUCAGAAUACAGUCGGGCACAUUUGGCACAGCUGCUGGAGGAGCCUCACUGGACUUUCUGCCCUGAAGAAAUCGCUCCUGAGCUGUGUGGCUGGGCUCAGGGCCUUAGACUCUGCAGCUGGGGUCUCUAGGUGGGAUUCAGGCACGUGCCCGGAGGCACCCAGGCCCAGGUUAGCAGCGGUCUUUGAAGUGUUUGUUAGUCUAUGAACCUUUCCAAUACCCACUUGCUCAGUGGCUCACUGUUCCAGAGACUGCACCACAUCCUGGCUAUGUGAUGUGAAUGUCUGAUUUAUGCCUUCCAGGGCAAACAAUCAAGUCAGAGGAAGAGGCAGAGAGAUUCUAACAUGAAUAUAAAGGUCGAAGUCCAUGGGAGGUGGGGAGGCAGAGGGAGGAUGAUCACUCCAUCUAGGACUUGGGGAAAGGUGCAAUUUGGUAGAUGGAAGGACCGACAGGCAUCUACCAGGCUUGAGAGAAGGUCCACUCAUCCUCUCUUUCUCCUUCUUCAGAAUUUCCUCUGGCUUGUGGGGCCUACCUCCUUUUACUGAGGUUGGGUUGAGAAGGAUGGGGCUGUGCUCCUCCUGAGUGUGAGCAGGUCCAGAAACCUGGUCCUUAGGCAAAUGUCUAGCUCUUUCUUCCCUUACAUGAGGCCUGAGCUGCUUCCCCUUGGGAGGAGGUGUGGCAUUGCUCCCUCUCUUUGGCCUGGAGCAGGUAGCCUCAUCUGGCUGUUCCCUGGGAAUCUGGUACAUUUGCUUUCCACAGUGCCCUUCCCAAACUGGCCUUGGUUCACAUACGGGUAAUCCAGGAUCUAGCUAUGGGUUGGGAAGGAGUCAGGCUGUGUAGCCAUUGGCUGCUUUAGUUCUAAGUUUCAGGUUUUUCAGCUAGAUGGAGUUCUCUCCACUGGCUCCAACGAGGGCUGGGAAGACAAAAUCUAAUAAAAUAAAGCCUGUCUCUUUGCACAGCCUUCUGUCUAUGAAUAUCAGCAUGCUGUAAGUCUUAUAGCCUACUUAGCAAACCAUUCUUUCUUCUUUUAUAUAGUAUGCCAUUUCAAAGAAAAUGUGUAUUUGUUUGUAGUGUUUAAUGCAAAUUUUAAAAUUUUUAGACAGCCAGAAAAUUGAUUAGAUAGGCAUGAACUUCAGUGCUUUAUUGGAUGGCUAAUGGUUAUGAAGCUGUUAAAGGAUCUUCAAAUGCUUUUGUUUUCUGUUCUGACUCUGUAUCAAUUCUUUUGAAUAGCAAUUAGGUGACAAUUAAAGAAUCCUAAUGGGAAGAGAUCUCUCAAAUGUCCG
Cercocebus atys (sooty mangabey) is the source of this 1813-nucleotide long non-coding RNA. The record is from Ensembl. NCBI's taxonomy places the organism in Eukaryota, Metazoa, Chordata, Mammalia, Primates, Cercopithecidae.